UCUAGAGUNUCGGAGAGGAAAGUGGAAUUCNUAGUGUAGCGGUGAAAUGCGUAGAUAUUAGGAAGAACACCAGUGGCGAAGGCGACUUUCUGGACGAAAACUGACGCUGAGGCGCGAAAGCCAGGGGAGCGAACGGGAUUAGAUACCCCGGUAGUCCUGGCCGUAAACGAUGGGUACUAGGUGUAGGAGGUAUCGACCCCUUCUGUGCCGGAGUUAACGCAAUAAGUACCCCGCCUGGGGAGUACGACCGCAAGGUUGAAACUCAAAGGAAUUGACGGGGGCCCGCACAAGCGGUGGAGUAUGUGGUUUAAUUCGACGCAACGCGAAGAACCUUACCAGGUCUUGACAUUGAUGGACAGAACCAGAGAUGGUUCCUCUUCUUCGGAAGCCAGAAAACAGGUGGUGCACGGUUGUCGUCAGCUCGUGUCGUGAGAUGUUGGGUUAANNNNNGCAACGAGCGCAACCCCUAUCUUAUGUUGCCAGCACUUUGGGUGGGGACUCAUGAGAGACUGCCGCAGACAAUGCGGAGGAAGGCGGGGAUGACGUCAAAUCAUCAUGCCCCUUAUGACCUGGGCUACACACGUACUACAAUGGGAGUUAAUAGACGGAAGCGAGAUCGCGAGAUGGAGCAAACCCGAGAAACACUCUCUCAGUUCGGAUCGUAGGCUGCAACACGCCUACGUGAAGUCGGAAUCGCUAGUAAUCGCAGGUCAGCAUACUGCGGUGAAUACGUUCCCGGGCCU
This 743-nucleotide ribosomal RNA is filed under the name uncultured bacterium. Its description in RNAcentral is "bacterial SSU rRNA". It matches the Rfam family "Bacterial small subunit ribosomal RNA", at positions 640 to 1381 of the family's 1533-position model. The record is from RNAcentral.